This 197-nucleotide ribosomal RNA is filed under the name uncultured bacterium. Its description in RNAcentral is "partial 16S ribosomal RNA". It matches the Rfam family "Bacterial small subunit ribosomal RNA", at positions 328 to 539 of the family's 1533-position model. The record is from RNAcentral.
ACGCUCGACACCUACGGAGGCAGCAGUGGGGAAUAUUGCACAAUGGGGGAAACCCUGAUGCAGCGACGCCGCGUGGAGGAAGAAGGUCUUCGGAUUGUAAACUCCUGUUGUUGGGGAAAAAGAGGAUGGUACCCAACAAGGAAGUGACGGCUAACUACGUGCCAUCAGCCGCGGUAAUCUGAGCGGGCUGGCAAGGC